RNAcentral lists this long non-coding RNA (210 nucleotides) under Capsicum annuum. Its description in RNAcentral is "long non-coding RNA (CANN_LNC022402)". The record is from RNAcentral. Lineage: Eukaryota; Viridiplantae; Streptophyta; Magnoliopsida; Solanales; Solanaceae.
GAUUUCCUUGACUCCUUGUAGUAGGCAUGCAUCCAUGUAUACCCAACUACAAUAGAAAACAAAAACCUAGAUUCUUUAGCAACUUCAAUGAAUAAUUUAACACUGUAUUCCCUGAUAACGACACCAAAAUUUGAUGUCUCGAAAAACUACACCUCCAAAGAAGUAUGCUCAGUCGAUGUCAAAUACAGUAACCAAACUAGUUUGUGGUCG